This 127-nucleotide small RNA is filed under the name Marmota monax (woodchuck). The record is from RNAcentral. Lineage: Eukaryota; Metazoa; Chordata; Mammalia; Rodentia; Sciuridae.
GCCAGGUGCAGCGGCUCACGCCUGUGAUCCCAGCAGCUCAGGAGGCUGAGGCAGGAGGAUCACGAGUUCAAAGCCAGCCUCAGCAACUUAGCCAGGCCCUAAGCAAUGCAGCGAGACCCUGUCUCUA